GCGACGCUGGCGGCGUGCUUACACAUGCAAGUCGAACGCUGAAGCNCNNUGCUUGCUCGGUGUGGAUGAGUGGCGAACGGGUGAGUAACACGUGAGUAACCUGCCCCUGACUUCGGGAUAAGCCUGGGAAACUGGGUCUAAUACCGGAUAUGACUACUGGCCGCAUGGUCUGGUGGUGGAAAGGGUUUUACUGGUUGGGGAUGGACUCGCGGCCUAUCAGUUUGUUGGUGGGGUAGUGGCCUACCAAGACGACGACGGGUAGCCGGCCUGAGAGGGCGACCGGCCACACUGGGACUGAGACACGGCCCAGACUCCUACGGGAGGCAGCAGUGGGGAAUAUUGCACAAUGGGGGGAACCCUGAUGCAGCGACGCCGCGUGCGGGAUGACGGCCUUCGGGUUGUAAACCGCUUUCAGUAGGGAAGAAGCGAAAGUGACGGUACCUGCAGAAGAAGUACCGGCUAACUACGUGCCAGCAGCCGCGGUAAUACGUAGGGUACAAGCGUUGUCCGGAAUUAUUGGGCGUAAAGAGCUCGUAGGUGGUUGGUCACGUCUGCUGUGGAAACGCAACGCUUAACGUUGCGCGUGCAGUGGGUACGGGCUGACUAGAGUGCAGUAGGGGAGUCUGGAAUUCCUGGUGUAGCGGUGAAAUGCGCANAUAUCAGGAGGAACACCGGUGGCGAAGGCGGGACUCUGGGCUGUAACUGACNCUGANGAGCGAAAGCAUGGGGAGCGAACAGGAUUANAUACCCUGGUAGUCCAUGCCCUAAACGUUGGGAACUAGGUGUGGGNCCNUUCCNCGGAUUCCGUGCCGUAACUANCNCAUUAANUNCCCNCCUGGGGANUACGNCCCCANGCUAAACUCAAAGAAUUGACNGGGGCCCCCCAAA
RNAcentral lists this ribosomal RNA (888 nucleotides) under Brevibacterium luteolum. Its description in RNAcentral is "partial 16S ribosomal RNA". It matches the Rfam family "Bacterial small subunit ribosomal RNA", at positions 29 to 928 of the family's 1533-position model. The record is from RNAcentral. Lineage: Bacteria; Bacillati; Actinomycetota; Actinomycetes; Micrococcales; Brevibacteriaceae.